RNAcentral lists this unclassified non-coding RNA (252 nucleotides) under Hevea brasiliensis (rubber tree). The record is from RNAcentral. Lineage: Eukaryota; Viridiplantae; Streptophyta; Magnoliopsida; Malpighiales; Euphorbiaceae.
AGUCAAAUUGUUGACUUUCUAAGGUUUAAUAGGUAUGGAAACUCCAACUUCACCCACAUACCAUAUUUUGGUCAUCAAACUUGUUAGUUUUGGUCCUUUUUCUCAAAACUUAGGUCUUUUAGGCAAAAUUGCCAAAUUUUUAGUUUUGGUGUCCCUAGUUGUACUGUUUCAUUAGUCAGUUUACUGUUUGAAUUUGGCAAAACUUUCUUCAUAUAAAAUGUUCCCUAAUGUCUUAAGUUUAUUCUCCUUUUU